CCUACGGGAGGCAGCAGUGGGGCAUAUUGGACAAUGGGGGGAACCCUGAUCCAGCGACGCCGCGUGAGUGAAGAAGUAUUUCGGUAUGUAAAGCUCUAUCAGCAGGGAAGAAAAUGACGGUACCUGACUAAGAAGCCCCGGCUAACUACGUGCCAGCAGCCGCGGUAAUACGUAGGGGGCAAGCGUUAUCCGGAUUUACUGGGCGUAAAGGGAGCGUAGGCGGGGCAGCAAGUCUGAUGUGAAAGGUCGGGGCCCAACCCCGGGACUGCAUUGGAAACUGUUGAACUGGAGUACAGGAGAGGUAAGCGGAAUUCCUAGUGUAGCGGUGAAAUGCGUAGAGAUUAAGAGGAACACCAGUGGCGAAGGCGGCUUACUAAACUGCCACUGACAUUGAUGCUCGAAAGUGUGGGGAGCAAACAGGAUUAGAUACCCCGGUAGUC
Molecule: ribosomal RNA, 440 nt
Filed under: uncultured bacterium
Lineage: Bacteria
Description: partial 16S ribosomal RNA
Rfam family: Bacterial small subunit ribosomal RNA
Source: RNAcentral